This 447-nucleotide ribosomal RNA is filed under the name uncultured bacterium. RNAcentral's name for it is "bacterial SSU rRNA". It matches the Rfam family "Bacterial small subunit ribosomal RNA", at positions 355 to 825 of the family's 1533-position model. The record is from RNAcentral.
UGGGGAAUCUUGGACAAUGGGCGCAAGCCUGAUCCAGCCAUGCCGCGUGGAUGAUGAAGGCCUUAGGGUUGUAAAAUCCUUUCGUGGGGGACGAUAAUGACGGUACCCCAAGAAGAAGCUCCGGCUAACUUCGUGCCAGCAGCCGCGGUAAUACGAAGGGGGCUAGCGUUGUUCGGAUUUACUGGGCGUAAAGCGCGUGUAGGCGGGUCGUUAAGUUGGGGGUGAAAUCCCGAGGCUCAACCUCGGAACUGCCUUCAAAACUGGCGACCUGGACCUAAGUAGAGGCAAGUGGAAUUGCGAGUGUAGAGGUGAAAUUCGUAGAUAUUCGCAGGAACACCAGUGGCGAAGGCGACUUGCUGGACUUAUGGUGACGCUGAGACGCGAAAGCGUGGGGAGCAAACAGGAUUAGAUACCCAGGUAGUCCCUGAGCGGGCUGGCAAGGCGCAU